Molecule: ribosomal RNA, 253 nt
Filed under: uncultured bacterium
Lineage: Bacteria
Description: partial 16S ribosomal RNA
Rfam family: Bacterial small subunit ribosomal RNA
Source: RNAcentral
UACGAAGGGGGCGAGCGUUGUUCGGAGUUACUGGGCGUAAAGGGCGCGUAGGCGGCGCUCCAAGUUAGGCGUGAAAUCCCUCAGCUCAACUGGGGAACUGCGUCUGAGACUGGCGGGCUUGAGUGCAGGAGAGGAACGCGGAAUUCCAGGUGUAGCGGUGAAAUGCGUAGAUAUCUGGAGGAACACCGGUGGCGAAGGCGGCGUUCUGGACUGUUACUGACACUGAGGAACGAAAGCCAGGGGAGCAAACGGG